RNAcentral lists this ribosomal RNA (1797 nucleotides) under Triticum aestivum (bread wheat). RNAcentral describes it as "partial small subunit ribosomal RNA". Lineage: Eukaryota; Viridiplantae; Streptophyta; Magnoliopsida; Poales; Poaceae. The record is from RNAcentral.
AUGGCGGACUCCGGUGCUGACCCUGUCGACCGCCGCGCGACCCUCUCCGGCGAGCGCGUGUCCUCUGGUGACCGCUGGCUCAGCUCAGAGAGCGAGUCCCCGGCGCGCUCGUACAGCGAAGUCGCCCGCACUCCGUCGCCCCCGGCCCCGCAGAGGCAGGCUCCUCCGCGCGCCCACCGCUCCUCGGCGGCGCGCCCCAGGCUGCCGGCCAGAAACCGCCUUGGCCCCCGCUCGGAGGUACACCGCGUCUCUGGCGGAGAUGUGGUGGACGAGGACGGAUACCAGCUCCCUCGGUGUCGGAACCGCCGCCGUCGCCCGCGGCAGGCGGCCACCCCCAGCCCUCCGGCGCCCCGCCGCCGGAGCCCCUCGCCUGAGGAAGUCGCCGGGCUCUGCUUUCGUUGCCUGGACCAUCGCCACCGGGUGCGCGACUGCACCAACGACAUCCGGUGCCGCACAUGCCUGCAGUCUGGGCAUGACUCCCGCUCCUGCGACCCAUCGCGCCGGGACGUGGUGCCGCAUCGUCAACAGCACGGCAACCCGGCUGGCCGGGCACGCGUGCAGCCGUCGUCCGCGCUCAUCCCCCUGUCGCCCCCCGCAACAACUGCCACGGCGACACCUACGGUCGACGCGCACCCGCCAGAGCCUGUGCGGAUCAUCAUGGCACGCACCGUCGAGAUGGAGGACGCGGAGACGGUUCUGUCCCGCGCGAUGGUCGCGUCCAUCACCGGCAAUCGACCGUCCGUCUCCGCCGAUGAGGUGGCUGCGCUGCUCUGGGACUCAUUCGACCUCGUCGACGGUGACUUCACCGUCCACCGUCACCACCCGGAGGACUUUCUGAUCCUGUUCAGCUCGCUGGCCAUCAAGGAGCGGCUCGCCGGCGACCACUUCAUCCGCUCGCCACGCUUCUCCCUUUCGAUGCGGCCUUGGUGUAAGCUCGCGCACGCCGGCUGCAGCGAGUUCGAAUUUCACGUCGAACUCGAGCUGCGCGGUGUCCCCACUCAAGCAUGGCACCUCUCCACCGCCGAGCAUAUCCUCGGGCAAAGCUGCUGGAUCGAACGCCUCCACCCCCACACCCGUUCCCGCGCCGACCUCGCCACCUUCCGGCUAUCUGGGCGCACACAUGACCCUGACAAGAUCCAUCGCGCUGCCAUUCUUGAGGUGGUCAAGCAGGUGCCGGCGGCCUUGGACUCCGACACGCCCACCAUCAGGAUCCUGACUUACCCCAUCUCCAUCGCGCUAGCCUGCUCUAUCAUGAUCAGACCGCCGACGACUACAAGGCCCUCGGGCGAAGGGCCAGACCAUGAGCGCGGCACCGACGGGAACCGCGACCACGCCCCUGACCGCGGCCCAGGUCGCGCGCGCCGCCGCGGACGCAAGCGCAGACGCACGGACGCGCCCGCCACCGGUCGGGCCGACGGCAUGGCCAUGGACGACCUGGGCUGGCGCGUCGCUAGGCUGGCAAGGUCAGAUGGCCUAUCCUCGUCGCCGACGUGGCCUUCCGGCGCCGGCUCCGGCGCGGCGCCGUCCGCGAAUCCACUGCGUACGGGCAUGAUGCCCUGGCCUGGACAACGAGGGGGCCACCGCCCGCGUCACCACGCCAGAAGAGGAAAAGGCAGAGGAAAGCAAAAGGAGCAGUCUGCAGAGGGCCCGUCUGGCUGCACUGACGCGGUCGCCACAGACGCCCAGCUGGGCCUGGUCGGGCCGCGUGUCGACCCACAACAGGCCGCGAGUUCAAAUCUGGUGGCUGGCAACGAUCCCAAUGACGAUUUUGUGGGGCAUAGACCGGCCCCCCCCUGA